GAGAAGCACUCACUGACAACCUACUAUUGCCUGGUGAACACUAGGAGUUGUGCCCACCUUCUCCUCUCAGAGCGUGCACCAGGUGAGAAACCAGGAAUGGUGGCCAGAAGAUGGAGAAAAACUGCUUGCCAACCAGGACCCUGAAUUCGCCUUGCCUUCAAACUCUCUGUGGCUGAAGAGCUAAGCAUUCAUGUUUCCUGAAGGAACCAUCAUCUGUGAAUUGUGGUGGGAGCCAGACGGGGGCAGCCUUGCAGCAAAAUGCCUGGAGGCUGCACUAAUGUCCUCCCCUGACAAGUUAGAUGGCAGCUAAUUUAUACAUCGCCUCCCAUUAGUUUGGGGAAAAAUAUAGCUACCAAUAAGGAA
Mastomys coucha (southern multimammate mouse) is the source of this 363-nucleotide long non-coding RNA. RefSeq lists it as uncharacterized. The transcript has 2 exons. Lineage: Eukaryota; Metazoa; Chordata; Mammalia; Rodentia; Muridae. The record is from RefSeq and is a predicted model, not a curated record.